UUCACUGUAUCUGAGGACGAGGGAGGGGGAGCUAUCGAGGGGUUAGAAGCAGCAGAAAGGCACGGGCAUGUGGGUGUUUUAAAGCAGGUUUGGCUGAUGUGUGAAGAAUGGACUGAGCGGAACAAGACAGGAAGCUGGGACAACGGUGCUGAGGUCAUCCACGGUCUAGGGACUGAAGAGGCUCAGAGUUUCCAACAUCUGAGUGAUUUGUGAAUAUGAGGAAUUCUGACACUGGGACUCAUCAAACCCUGUACUUGUUGCACUUUGACUGAAACAAAAUGUUUCGGCACUUGGAGCUUGCUUGGGACUCAUUGCACUUGAGAGAACUUGGAUGAGUCACCAUGCUGCCCUGCAAGAGAAAACGCCUCAUUGUUCGGUACUCAUCAGUUGCAGCACUCGUCACACGUUCCAGAACAAAUUAAUGACUGCCAAAGGUUGGCGAGCUGUGCUGUGCUGUGACUCAUCUUUCUCCGGAAGCCAUGGGGGUUUCCAACCUCUCCUGCUUGGAGCCUUCCUAGGUCCUCCAGAUGAAAAAACUCCUCAGAUGGAACCAUUUUGCCAAUGCAGAAGAGGUCAAACGAAAAACAACAGAAGCACUGAAAGUCAUCAAAAUCGAUGAGUUCGAAAACUGUUUUUUUCUUUCAAAAUUUCUUUUCUUUUCAAAAUUUUAAUAUAUUUUAUUGAUUGUACUAUUACAGUUGUCCCAUUUCCCCCCCCUUUAUUCCCCUCAGCCCUGUAUUCCCCCCUCCCACCACCAUUCUGCCACCCUAGUUCAUGUCCAUGUGUCACACAUAUAAGUUCUUUGGCUUCUCCAUUUCCCAUACUAUUCUUAACCUCCCUCUGUCUAUUUCCUACCUACCAUUUACGCUUCUUAUUCCUUGUACCUUGUCCCUUAUUCUCCCCAAUCCUCCUCCCCAUUGAUAAUCCUCCAUGUGAUCUCUAUUUCUGUGAACCUGUUCUAGUUGUUUGCUUCGUUUGUUUUUGUUCUUUAGGUUCAGUUGUCAAUAGUCAUGAGUUUGUUGUCAUUUUAUUGUUCAUAGUUUUGAUCUUCUUUUUCUUAGAUAAGUCCUUUUAACAUUUCAUAUAAUAAUGGCUUGGUGAUGAUGAACUCCUUUAACUUGACCUUAUCUGGGAAACACUUUAUCUGCCUUUCCAUUGUAAAUGAUAUCUUUGCUGGAUAGAGUAAUAUUGGAUGUAGGUCCCUGAUUUUCAUGACUUUGAAUACUUCUUUCCAGCCCCUUCUUGCCUGUAAGGUCUCUUUUGAGAAAUCAGCUGAUAGUCUUAUGGGAACUCCUUUGUAGGCAACUCUUUCCUCUUGCUGCUUUUAAGAUUCUCUCUUUAUCUCUAGUCUUGAGUAACUUAAUGAUGAUGUGCCUUGGUGUGUUCCUCUUUAGGUCCAGCUUCUUUGGGACUCUCUGAUCUUCCUGGACUCCUGGAAGUCUAUUUCUUUUGCCAUACAGGGGAAGUUGUUUUUCAUUAUUUGUUCAAAUAAGUUUUCAAUUUGUUGCUCUCCUCUUCUCCUUCUGGCAUCCCUAUGAUUCGCACGUUGGAAUGUUUAAAGUUGUCCCAGAGGUUCCCGAGCCUCUCCUCAUUUUUUGAAUUCCUGUUUCUUCAUUCUAUUCUUAUUGAAUGUUUAUCUCUUUUUUCUGCUCCAAACCAUUGAUUUGAGUCCCAGUUUCCCUCCCUUCAUUCUCGGUUCCCUGUGUAUAUUUUUUAUUUCACUUUGCAUAGCCUUUACUUCUUCCUCUAUUUUACGACCAUAGUCAACCAUUUCUGUGAGCAUCCUGAUUACCAGUGUUUUGAACUGUGUGUGAUAGGUUGGCUAUCUCUUGAUAACUUAGUUUUAUUUUUCUGGAGCUUUGAUCUAUUCUUUUAUCUGGGCCGUUUUUGUUGUUGUUGUUGUUUCAGCCUGCCUGUUACAUGGUAAGGGGCAGAGCCCUAGGUAUUCACCAGGAAAGAGCAACCCACAUCACUGUGUUGUGGUGCUGUAUGUGGGGGAGGGUUCUGAGAAUGAACAGUGCCGCUUGCUCAGCUCUCUGGCUUUCAGUCACUUCCUCUGUUACCCACAAGAAAAUUGGGCCCUUCUGGUGUUGAUUCCUGAGUGGGUGGUUUUGUGUAUGUUCUAGGACCCUGGGGGUCUCUCCAACAAACUCUCCUGUAAGGCUGGAGUUUCUCCUGUCACAGCAACCCCCACAAGUUUUUUCAGUCAGAGGUUUUGAGGCUUUAUUUAGCUGUGUUGGAAUCCUGGGUAUGCAGUUUGUCUUGCUCCCCAGUUGUUCUUCCUGGUUUAUCUGUAAGCCAGUGUGGGACCACCCACUCUUCCAGCCACCACCUUGUCUGCCCUGGUCCUCUAACCCCUGCCUUGCUGUGAGUCCUCUCCACUCUGUCUGCCCAUCUCUGCCCCUCCUACAGGUCUGGGUGAAUGUUUCUUCUUUAGCUCCUUGGUUGUUGGACUCCUGUACUGUUCAAUUUUCCGGCAGUUCCGGUUAUGUCUUGUUUUUAAAUUUGUUGUUGUCUGCCUUUUGAUUGUGUAAGGAGGCAAAGUGUAUCUCCCUACACCUCCAUCUUGGCCAGAAGUCCCCAAAACUGUUUUAAGCAGUUGAAAAAUGUCUCAGUAGGUUAUUGCAUCAAAUGGAGAGUGCUUUGAAGGUGACUGAAGUUUAAACAUAUAAGAAUAAACACCCAAUCUUUUUAUAUUUAAAUAAAUUUCACUUUGGGUCCCCCCUUGAAUAUAAAGUACUUGCCAUGGUGAUCUCUGGUCCAUUUUUAUGCAAAUUUGCAGUUUGAUCAGUCCACAUAGCACUGUCCUGAUUGUUCAGAAUGUCGCAUCCUGACUGAUUAUUAUGGAGUCACUCUGAUUGGUCAGUAAAGGUACAAAUGGGGGACAUAGCCUUGCAGGUCCAAUUGGCUGGGGCAGGUCGAAGGAUGAUUCCAGGGACUCCUUUAGAGGGGUUGGAUUAGAAGGCAGGAAUAUAGCGCAGGAGGCUUGGUAGCCUAAUCUGUGGCUUUUCCCUGAAAUGCAGCAUGUGUGAGAGGCCUCCUGUAAAUAACAGCUGCUGGACUCUAAUUAUGAAUUUGGGCCCAAUUAACCACAAUAAGUCCUUUUUGACAGGUAUAUUUCUUCUUGGGGUCAACACAACAAAUAUUUAUUGAGUACCUACUAUGUGCCGGAUACUAUGUUAAGUUUGGGGUGAGGACUGGGGUACUUAGAAGAUAUCCAGCUCAUUAAUACCAUUUUAUAUUAAAAGAGAUGAAGGCCCAGAGAAAAGUAACUAAUCUAGGAUAAGAGACAUAGUCAGGACCUGUUCCUACUGUCACCGCCAUAAAAUAAUUCCUCAUCCCAGGCAACUCUGACCCCCUCCUGUCUCCUCCCACACUCCCUGAUCUCUCCUUUUUGUAGCUGGCACCUCAGAGUUUUUACUGUGCAAGUGCACUGCAGAUGUAACCAUUCCUAUGCCCAUCUUACCUUACUGCAGGUAAACAGUUUAUUAAAAUACAUGAAGUUCAAUGAAUACAGCGGGAUAAGGGAAGACUUUGUUCCAAAGGAAGAAUUUAAAUUGUCUUAGAAGGAAGAGAGCAGUGCUCAGGAGAGAGAUGAAGGGUUAGAUAGGGGCCUGUGUUGUGUGUAUAGGUCGCUAAGGAAGGAGGUGAUAACCUGAGUGAACACUGAUAAAAAACCCAGUAUGUUUGACUGGUCAUUUGAAGGCCUGAACUUGAAGGCGUAUUCAUGAGGCAGGCAAGUGGGGAGGAAGACGGAAAGGGAUGGCCCUGAGCUUGUUGUGGGGUGAUAGAGUUCAGAUAGUUAUUCUAUUAAUUUGCUAGCUGUGUGACUUUAGGCUAGUCACUUACCUCAGCUUGUUCACUCUUCUGUUAUGCUAACCGCUGCUAGGGGGCUGCAAGCCUCAAGUGCAGCUACACAGGUUGACAGCACAUGGCCCAUUCCCAGCUGGCUCUAGGUGUGCAGGACAAAUUAGUGUCAUCUUUCAACAGUGGAAUGUUCUGCUUUGUGGGUUUGUAAUGCAAGAUCUAUAAGGCAGCUAAAGGUUAAUCAUGAAGCAUAAAAUGGUAAACUUAGAGAGUUUGAACAGUGCCUCUAAGCCAGAAGAUGUUGGAGGUUUGGGAGAAGUGAACAAAUUAUCCUUUCGUUUGCUUUUGUCUGUUCUUUUGUUUUUAGGAAACUGUGGUCAGGACAUGUAAGAAAUAGGAAUCCGGAGGCAGAUGGGGUGGGGAGUUGCUUAAAGGACUGAAAUAAGAAGAGAAAUUCCCUAAAACAAUGUGCAAAUUACUGGAGAGGAAAGGUAGAAACAAAUUAGAAAAGAACAACAAUAAUUAAGAUCCCUUGAGUACUUGCUAUGUACCAGGUACUAUUCUAAGAACUUUAAAGACUUAACACAUUUAAUAUAUCAAGUGUAUUAACUUGUCCUGUAUUCACAACAUAUCUCUGAUGAAAAUCAUUCUCAACACCAUUAGGAGGUGGGGAAACUGAGGCACUGAGCGGUUAAGGUGCAAAAAAGGCAUGUCUCUCUUCCUAUGCACUUUCAGAAUGGGUUUUUAAAAAUUUUUAAAUGUGUGGGUGUUUCCUUUUAGAAUAUUUUAGACUAUUUUCUCCACAACUUGCAGGUAUUGUAGUAAUGUGCAUUAAUGGAUAUCCUGAGCGUAUUCCCCUUUGUCUUUAUAAUGAUAAUUUUAAUGGUGGUCUAAUAUUUUAUUGAAUGGCUAUAUCAAGCUAUUUUUUGCUGCUCGCACGAACAUUUUGGGACAUAAAUCUUUGACAACACCGCUUAUCAUGUUUUAAAGAUACAUUUCCUGAUGUUGAAUUCCUGAAUGAGAUGAAGUAACCAUUUUCAUGGAUCUUAACUCAUAUUGCCAAUUUGCUUUUCCCACAGGGUUGGACAUAUUCACAGUGUCCUUGACAAUGUAGAAGGUUAUCACUUUCACCACAUACUUGCCAGCAUUAGCACCAGAAAGAUGCAAAGAAAACUUCAUACCUGCAGAUUCAGAAGGAAAAGGACUUUGGCUUUGAGACUGCAGGAGACCACCAAAAGGCUGCAGCAGCAAACACGGGCUGAGCUUGAGGGGAGGAACAAGAAAGAAGCAGGGAAGGAGAGCGCCUUCCAGUUCAUUCAAUUCAAAGGGAGUAGCAUGUAACUAAGGAGCACUGCCCAGACGUUAGUGGACAGUGGGACAAGAUGGGGGCAGACAAGACUCGGGAGUGUAUUCCAUAGAAGAGGAGAGUUUCCUUUUUUGAUAUCAUCUUCUACAGGAAUCUUGGAUGGAAAGCACAUGUAUGUUGAAACCUUACCACAGAGAGGCUGGCCAUAAGUGUUGAGUCCUCUUAUUGAAAAAUGAAGAAUGUGUCAGUGACCACACAUGAAGAUGAGAUUCGGCUGCACUGCUUUGACUUUCCAUUUUAUUCAUGUUUGAGGUCUUUCAAAUCAUGGGCUUUGUUUAAUCAA
Artibeus jamaicensis (Jamaican fruit-eating bat) is the source of this 5456-nucleotide long non-coding RNA. RefSeq lists it as uncharacterized. NCBI's taxonomy places the organism in Eukaryota, Metazoa, Chordata, Mammalia, Chiroptera, Phyllostomidae. The record is from RefSeq and is a predicted model, not a curated record. The transcript has 8 exons.